RNAcentral lists this ribosomal RNA (254 nucleotides) under uncultured bacterium. RNAcentral describes it as "partial 16S ribosomal RNA". It matches the Rfam family "Bacterial small subunit ribosomal RNA", at positions 524 to 776 of the family's 1533-position model. The record is from RNAcentral.
GACGUAGGGCGCGAGCGUUGUCCGGAUUUAUUGGGCGUAAAGAGCUCGUAGGCGGCUUGUUGCGUCAGCUGUGAAAAACCCGCAGCUCAACUGUGGGCUUGCAGCUGAUACGGGCAGGCUUGAGUUCGGUAGGGGAGACUGGAAUUCCUGGUGUAGCGGUGAAAUGCGCAGAUAUCAGGAGGAACACCGGUGGCGAAGGCGGGACUCUGGGCCGAUACUGACGCUGAGGAGCGAAAGCGUGGGGAGCGAACAGG